Molecule: non-coding RNA, 178 nt
Filed under: Frischella japonica
Lineage: Bacteria; Pseudomonadati; Pseudomonadota; Gammaproteobacteria; Orbales; Orbaceae
Description: 6S / SsrS RNA
Rfam family: 6S / SsrS RNA
About the family: E. coli 6S RNA was the first non coding RNA to be sequenced, but its function was unknown until recently.
Source: RNAcentral
AUCUCUGAGAUGUUCGUUAAUGGGUUUGUCCCCUGAGCCGAUAAUCUUUAUGAUAGAGUGGUUAUGCUUAUUGAUUGGUGUGUAUGCCUUCAUGUUAAGGAAACCUAAUAAUCAAACAUAACGCUCACCUUGAACUUCGGGUUCAAGGGUUAUAACUCAUGACGGCAUCUUGGAGUCU